Molecule: long non-coding RNA, 1809 nt
Filed under: Salmo salar (Atlantic salmon)
Lineage: Eukaryota; Metazoa; Chordata; Actinopteri; Salmoniformes; Salmonidae
Description: lncRNA (ENSSSAG00000089585.1)
Source: RNAcentral
UUUUUGUUGUUAUUUUAGUCUUUGCACACGUCAUGUCGACCUCAUUGGCUGUCAGUCCUUGCCAUUACUCCAUUUAUGAAUUUGAGAGUAGUUUCCCUCAGUUUACUAAAUAGUGGCUGGGUCAGGUUCUUGAUUUUGCCUCGUGCCUUUUUGUGCCUUGCUUUUCUCAAAGGCUUAUAGCAUCAAGGUGAAACUGAUUACUCCGACAACAAAUCCUUCUGGCCACGGGGUGGCGUCAUACACCACGAAUGUCUAUAUUUGCGUUCUCUUCCAGCGCGCACACUCUAGGGUCCGCCCCGCUCCAUACACCUGUCCUACCUGCGCACUUAUCUGGAUGAUAAAAUAACCGUUUCUUUCAGACAUAAAUCGUUUCUCAUCAAGUAAGCAACCCGGCUAAUUCCCAACGUCCACUGUGUAUAUUUGGCUUUUAUUUUAAAAACGUUAGGCUACCAGUUUGAUACAUCAUGGAGAAAAAACCAAUCAUAUUUGGGAUUAUUCUUACUUUGGCUGUUUCAGCGCUCCUUUUCUUUGAUGAUGUUGUGCCUGUUUCCCAUUUACGGAGGGCAACACCCAGCAGCAAUGUCAAGACCACCCCAGCUACGCUGUCCACCUACUACAUAUGCGUCAGAAUCACCAACCGGAUUUACACUGAGUCACUCAAUAAUCAAAACUCUAAGGAGUACAAACAGCUGAGGAAACAGGUGGAGCAGAUGAUGGAUGACGUCCACAGCCCUUUGUCAGAGUCUGCCAAAUAUAUGGGUGUAUUUGAUAUAAUCUUCAGUAAUGGAUCCGUCAUUGCAAACUCGACAGUAAGGUUUGGGACUACAUUGAUGAUAACUCCAACUUUGGUUAAAGGUCUAUUUUCCACUCAUAUCCAAUCAAAUAAAUCCAAAACCCUUGACCUGGACCUCGCCUAUACUGAAGGUCAACUUCCAAUAAAAGCCACACUACCUCUUGUGGCACGUACCACAGCAACCGUAGCUGCCUUAGAUAGUACGGCUAGCCGUUCAGGAUGGGCUGGGGAUGCAACUACAUCUACAGCAAUUACUUCAUCUGGCAACAUCACAAGUAGUCAUACCCUCACAACCACCACCACUAGUCCUGACAAAAACACUACAACUAGCAACACAACCACCCCUAGUCCUGGAGAGCAUAACACUACAACUAGCAACACAACCACCCCUAGUCCUGGAGAGCAUAACACUACAACUAGCAACACAACCACCCCUAGUCCUGGAGACCAUAACACUACAACUAGCAACACAACUAACCCUAGUCCUGGAGAGCAUAACACUACAACUAGCAACACAACUAACCCUAGUCCUGGAGAGCAUAACACUACAACUAGCAACACAACCACCCCUAGUCCUGGAGAGCAUAACACUACAACUAGCAACACAACCACCCCUAGUCCUGGAGACCAUAACACUACAACUAGCAAAAUAACCCCCCCUAGUCCUGGAGAGCAUAACACUACAACUAGCAAAAUAACCCCCCCUAGUCCUGGAGAGCAUAACACUACAACUAGCAAAAUAACCCCCCCUAGUCCUGGAGACCAUAACACUACAACUAGCAAAAUAACCCCCCUAGUCCUGGAGAGCAUAACACUACACCUAGCAAAAUAACCCCCCUAGUCCUGGAGAGCAUAACACUACAACUAGCAAAAUAACCCCCCCUAGUCCUGGAGAGCAUAACACUACAACUAGCAAAAUAACCCCCCCUAGUCCUGGAGAGCAUAACACUACAACUAGCAAAAUAACCCCCCUAGUCCUGGAGAGCAUAACACUACAACUAGCAAAAUAACCCCCC